GGGGAUGUAGCUCAGUGGUAGAGCAUGUGCUUAGCACAUGUGAGACCCAGGGUUCAUUCCCC
Molecule: transfer RNA, 62 nt
Filed under: Fukomys damarensis (Damara mole-rat)
Lineage: Eukaryota; Metazoa; Chordata; Mammalia; Rodentia; Bathyergidae
Rfam family: tRNA
About the family: Transfer RNA (tRNA) molecules are approximately 80 nucleotides in length. Their secondary structure includes four short double-helical elements and three loops (D, anti-codon, and T loops). Further hydrogen bonds mediate the characteristic L-shaped molecular structure. tRNAs have two regions of fundamental functional importance: the anti-codon, which is responsible for specific mRNA codon recognition, and the 3' end, to which the tRNAs corresponding amino acid is attached (by aminoacyl-tRNA synthetases). tRNAs cope with the degeneracy of the genetic code in two manners: having more than one tRNA (with a specific anti-codon) for a particular amino acid; and 'wobble' base-pairing, i.e. permitting non-standard base-pairing at the 3rd anti-codon position.
Source: Rfam by way of RNAcentral